UCUGUGCAGGCCCUAAAUGAAGAGAAGGGUCAUUCUCGACAGUCAGUGUCUAAUGGACCUCGAGUUAUGGCAGUUGUUAUUACGUCAGUGGAGCGGCCCAUAUUUUAUGAUGACCAUGCAUAUUCCCCCGAAGACCUCCAGCUCUUUACAGAUGCGCACCUUCAAAUUGGGUUUGGAGGUUAUUUGGAUUGAGGUCGUGGGAUUGACGCUCCGUGGUUUGGAUUGAGGUCGUGGGAUUGACACUCCGUGGUUUGGAUUGAGGUCGUGGGAUUGACACUCCGUGGUUUGGAUUGAGGUUGUGGGAUUGACACUCCGUGGUUUGGAUUGAGGUCGUGGGAUUGACACUCCGUGGUUUGGAUUGAGGUCGUGGGAUUGACACUCCGUGGUUUGGAUUGAGGUCGUGGGAUUGACACUCCGUGGUUUGUAUUGAGGUCGUGGGAUUGACACUCCUUGGUUUGUAUUGAGGUCGUGGGAUUGACAUUCCUUGGUUUGGAUUGAGGUCGUGGGAUUGACACUCCUUAGCCACCUCGCCAGACAUGUUUUCUGCUCGCUUUUCUUUAGACGAAUUUGGAACGUGAACGUGUGAAAUGACUUAUACAGAGCUGCUAGUUGAGAUCACAUUGUGUUCCCUCUUGUUUCUUGAUAGAGAGAGAGUAUCGUUGUUCUAAUUCAAACUCUAGUCUGUUUAGCUCUGAGGGGAUCUCAAUGUAAAUUAGCUAAAUGGUGGCAUAGGCUGUUACUUAGGGUAUAUUGUGUAUAUUUUUAAUGGUUUUCUUUUCACUUACUGAUUUUGUCGAAGAGGUUUUACCCAUUUCCUGCCAAGAUGGAGAAAGUUCCAUCUUUAACCGUUAAGUCUAUUGAGCUCCUACAGGCUGUUAAUAGUGUUACUUUAAUAUACAUUUGUUCACGAUUCUGUUAUAGUUAGCAUAUGGCAUAUAUAGCAUACGUUCUGUAUAAUUAAAUGUUUUUUUUUGUUUAAAAGCCAAGUCCCUUUACCUGCCAUGGUGGAUAUAUCUCCAUCUUCUCCCACGCUGGCAGAUGGUUUCUUCUCCACCCUCUGUGCUCGAUACGUAGCCUGUCUGGAGGUUAAUGCAUGAUGAACUCAGGUAAUUUAGCAACUGCCAAUCAUUUGUCUCUCUAUAAGUUCUUCCUCAUAACUCCUCGGCCAAUCCAUAGUCUCAAAUUGCUUAUUGACCUGAGGCAUCGGUGGAA
Molecule: long non-coding RNA, 1212 nt
Organism: Clupea harengus (Atlantic herring)
Lineage: Eukaryota; Metazoa; Chordata; Actinopteri; Clupeiformes; Clupeidae
Source: Ensembl